AAGCGGAGGAAAAGAAACCAACAGGGAUUGCCCCAGUAGCGGCGAGCGAAGCGGCAAGAGCUCAGAUUUGAAAUCUGGCCGCCCCCGGGCGGUCCGAGUUGUAAUCUGCAGGGGAGCCUUCGGGCUGCCGCGGCCUGCCUAAGUCCCCUGGAACGGGGCGCCAUGGAGGGUGAGAGCCCCGUGUGGUAGGCCGCAGCGGUCCUUGUGAUGCUCCUCCGACGAGUCNAGUAGUUUGGGAAUGCUGCUCUAAACGGGAGGUAUAUUCCUUCUAAAGCUAAAUACCGGCCGGAGACCGAUAGCGCACAAGUAGAGUGAUCGAAAGGUGAAAAGCACUUUGGAAAGAGAGUGAAAUAGUACGUGAAAUUGUUGCAGGGGAAGCGCUCUUGACCAGUCGCGCGCCGGGGGCCCAGCCGUCGUUCACUCGGCGGCGCGCGCCCCCUGGUUGCGGGUCAGCACCGGCUCCCGCGGCGGGAGAGGCUCCCUGGGAACGUGGCCCCGCCUCCGGGCGGGGUGUUAUAGCCCAGGGUGCGUACCGCCUGCGGGGGCCGAGGAAUCCCGCGCCCUCGUGGCCAGGGUGCUGGCAUAAUGGUCAUCAGCGUCCCGUCUUGA
This 609-nucleotide ribosomal RNA is filed under the name Acidothrix acidophila. Its description in RNAcentral is "eukaryotic LSU rRNA". It matches the Rfam family "Eukaryotic large subunit ribosomal RNA", at positions 48 to 657 of the family's 3401-position model. The record is from RNAcentral. Lineage: Eukaryota; Fungi; Ascomycota; Sordariomycetes; Amplistromataceae.